This 497-nucleotide ribosomal RNA is filed under the name uncultured bacterium. Its description in RNAcentral is "partial 16S ribosomal RNA". It matches the Rfam family "Bacterial small subunit ribosomal RNA", at positions 28 to 507 of the family's 1533-position model. The record is from RNAcentral.
GAUGAACGCUGGCGGCGUGCCUAAUACAUGCAAGUCGAGCGAACGGACAAGAAGCUUGCUUUUCUGAUGUUAGCGGCGGACGGGUGGGUAACACGUGGAUAACCUACCUAUAAGACUGGGAUAACUUCGGGAAACCGGAGCUAAUACCGGAUAAUAUUUUGAACCGCAUGGUUCAAAAGUGAAAGACGGUCUUGCUGUCACUUAUAGAUGGAUCCGCGCUGCAUUAGCUAGUUGGUAAGGUAACGGCUUACCAAGGCAACGAUGCAUAGCCGACCUGAGAGGGUGAUCGGCCACACUGGAACUGAGACACGGUCCAGACUCCUACGGGAGGCAGCAGUAGGGAAUCUUCCGCAAUGGGCGAAAGCCUGACGGAGCAACGCCGCGUGAGUGAUGAAGGUCUUCGGAUCGUAAAACUCUGUUAUUAGGGAAGAACAUAUGUGUAAGUAACUGUGCACAUCUUGACGGUACCUAAUCAGAAAGCCACGGCUAACUACGUG